CCCAUGGUCAUACCCAAAAUCAACUUCCUUGGAAGUGCACCCUCCCCAUGGAGGAUAAGGGAGAUUUCACCAAGCCUUUGCAGAGUUCAGACAUGCGUGCCUACAAAACGGAAGUAAAGACUUAAGCUGAUUCCCACGAAAGCAGUCAAGAUGCAGGGAAGAAGGUAUUGAGAACUUACGACUGCCCUGCAAAAUAUGUCCUGAAAAAGGACUGAUGUUCCUGGAGUCCAGAAUGCAACUGGCACCAGAGCAGAGUUGAAUGAUUGUUAUAGUUUUCUUGUAUCGGGAUCUUAGCUCCUAAUGACAGCUUCUGAGAACUACUCUGGUUGAAAUAUGAAGCCACAAAAGGGCAUUAGUAGGUGAAGUCUGGACAAUUCCUUCCAUGUCACUGUUUCUCCCUGGCUACCUGGUCUCCCUGUGGAGACAGAAAUUUAGAGAACAGAAUUAGAAAGCCAAGAGGGGUGAGGCAUAAGGGAGAGUCCUCCAAAUGCCGAUUCGGCAAAUUUUAACUUUUUCAGCUAUAAACCUUUCAAUACCUCAAAAUAAAUCCUUCAAUUUUAUAUGAGAGUUUGGUUUCUGCAGCUGUAGAUUUAUGCAGUGUGCUGAGGCCAGGCCAAAAGAAGUGAACAUAAACGAUGUGACAGAUAGCGUAAGGAUGUUAUUCAGCUUCUCACUCCGGCAUGGCUCACUUAAGAACUUUCCAAAUGUCAAGCAUAACCCCUCUCACUAAUUAGCUGCUAAAGCAGCUGAUCUUCUGCCAUGGACAUGUGUUCCAACUGCACAACUGCAGGCCCUCAGCUUGAGAGGUGCUGCAGAAAGCAGUACACUUCCUCAACCCUGGCCUGGGUCUGAGACACAUAGCCCAACACAUCACCCCAAGCAUCACUGGUGCAGACGCAUCUGUUGACCACAGGCCUGCCCUCUCUGUGUGCCAAGUCCUGCUUCUUGGUUGCUCAUGGGAAAUGGAGUACUGAAAUAUAAUGUGCUUCAGGAGCCAGCUAUAUUUACUAGGAAAUUAUUUAAGACAACAAGACAGUGUAGAACAAAAUAAACCUAUCACCAUAUUGCCUUGAUUGAAUUGCUUAAGAAUAAAUUAACUAAUAGUUUUUGGAAAUUAUUAUGAAUCAGGCUCUGUGCUAGUUUUCUCCUAAGUAUCUUAGUUAAACUUUUUAAUAACAGAGCAAAGUAGACAGUGUCAACUUCAUUCUGCAGAGGAAGAAACUAAAGAUCAAAGAGGUUGAAUGCUGUCUUAGUCCAUCGUAUGCUGCCGUAACAGAAUGCUUGAGACAGAGUGAUUUAUUAGGAACAGAAAUUUAUUUUCUUGAGGUUCUGGAGGCUGGCAAGUCCUAGAUCACGGCAAGAUUUACCUGGUGGGAGCUACAUCCUCACAUUGUGGAAGGAAGGGCAGGAGGCCCAAAUGCUUUGUGAAGCCUCUUUUGUAAGGGCGUUAAUCCCAUUCGCAAAGGAGAAGCCCUCACGGCCUGAUCACCUCUUAAAUGCCUACCACUUAAUACUAUCACAUUGACAACAACUGAAUUUUAGAGGGUGCACAUUCAAACAAUAGUAAAUGCCUCACCUGAAAAGCAUCCAGGUAGACAUUUGACAAAUGACCCUGUCUCCUUUAUCUUCAACAUCAUGUGAUUAACUUGAUAAUUAUUUCAAAAAUAGCAACCUAUAAAUAGGAAACUGAAAAUUUUUAUCUAGGUAAAAUUUUUAGAAGAGACCUAAGUUGUUUCUCAUCCAUGAAAACCAUGAAGGCUUUAUCAUCAGAGCUUCAACAAGAGAGUGGAAUUUAUUAACAAUGACUUGGACCACUUUUUAUGCAAUUUUAAUUUUUUCAUAGUUUCAUGUGUGUGAGUUCCACUUCUAGCCAAAAUGAAAUAAAAAGAACCAUAUUUUUUUCAAACUACCCAUCUGACAAGGGGUUAAUAACUGGAAUAUAUAAGGAGCUCAAACAACUCUAUAGAAAAAAAAAUCUAAUAAUCCAAUCAAACAAUGGGCAAAAGAUUUGAAUAGACAUUCCAUGAAAGAAGAAAUAUAAAUGGCAAACAGACAUAUGAAAAGGUGCUCAAAAAUCAUUGAUCAUCAGAGAAAUGCAAAUCAAAACUACAAUAGGAUAUCAUCUUACCCCAGUUAAAAUGGCUUUUAUCCAAAAGACAGGCAAUAACAAAUCCUGGUGAGGAUGUGGAGAAAAGGGAACCUUUGUACACUGUUGGUAAGAAUGUAAAUUAGUAAAACCACUAUGGAGAACAGUUUGGAGGUUCCUCAGAAAACUAAAAAUAGAGCUACCAUAUGAUACAGCAAUCCCACUGCUGGGUGUAUACUCAAAAGAAAGAAAAUCAGUGCAUUAAAGAGAUAUCUGCAUUCCCACGUUUUUUAUAACUCUGUUCACAAUAGCCAAGAUUUGGGAGCAACCUAAGUGCCUGUGAAUAGAUGAGUGGAUAAAGAAAAUGUGGUACUUCUACACAAUGGAGUACUAUUCAGCCAUAAAAAAAAGAAAAUGAGAUUUAGUCAUUUGAGAAAACAUGGAUGGAACUGGAAGUCAUUAUGUUAAGUGAAAUAAGCCAGGCACAGAAAGACAAACAUCACAUGUUCUCACAUAUUUGCGGGAUCUGAAAAUCAAAACCAUUGAACUCAUGGAGAUAGAGGGUAGAAGGACAGUUACCAGAGGCUGGGAAGGGUAGUGGGGGUGUGAUGGGAAGGUGGGGAUUGUUAAUGGGUACAAAAAAAUAGAAUGAAUGAAUAAGGCCUAGAGUUUGAUAGCACAAUAGGGUGACUAUAGUCAAUAAUUUAAUUGUACAUUUUAAAAUAACUAAAAGAGUGGAAUUGGAUUGUUUGUAACACAAAGGAUAAAUGCUUGAGGGAAUGGAUACCCCUUAAUGGGAUUAUUAUGCAUUUCAUGCUUGUAUCAAAACAUCUCAUGUAACAUAUAAAUAUAUACACCUACUAUGUGCUUACAGAAAUUUAAAAUAAACAAUUUUUGGCUGGGCGCCAUGGCUCAGGCCUGUAAUUCCAGCACUUUGGGAGGCCAAGGCAGGUA
This 3040-nucleotide long non-coding RNA is filed under the name Homo sapiens (human). RNAcentral's name for it is "HSALNT0244723". Lineage: Eukaryota; Metazoa; Chordata; Mammalia; Primates; Hominidae. The record is from RNAcentral.